RNAcentral lists this long non-coding RNA (1005 nucleotides) under Panax ginseng (ginseng). RNAcentral's name for it is "long non-coding RNA (PGIN_LNC001106)". The record is from RNAcentral. Lineage: Eukaryota; Viridiplantae; Streptophyta; Magnoliopsida; Apiales; Araliaceae.
UUAUCUUUGUACACACAGCAAUGGUAUCUCCAAAGAUAUCAACCAAGACUACUGAAGCUAAAAGCAGAAAAAGAAAGCAAGGAGAAGGGCAGAAUAUUGAGCCAAAUAGCCCAAAAUCUGUGAGUUCCCUCCCAUUCCUGAAAAGAAAAAGGAGGGACACUUGAAGCCAAUCAUAAGAGCUCUGUAGCUUUUGGUCCCAUUUCUUUUUAUGUUCUGCUUUCCUACAUACUUUGUUUAUCAUAUUUGUAUUUUUUUAAGUUCUUAUUUUUCUUCACAUUUUAACAGCCAAGGACAUCACCAAGGCAACAUGUGGUAGCCACUAAAACACAAGCAUUGGUAAAGAAUGAAAAUUAUAAUUUUUAUUUUCCAUAUAUUAUGUGUAUCCUAAAUAUAGUUUCCAUUCUUCCAAUACUUGUGUUUUAGUGGCUAUCACAUGCUGCCUUGGUGAGGUCCUCAGCUGUUAAAAUGUGAAGAAAAAUAAGGUCCUCAGCCUGAUAAUAUAAUUUUGAAAUGCCAUUUUCAGGCACCGACUUCAACUGAGAAACCUCCGAGUGCACGAAAGAUGAAAGUUAUGCAAAGUUUGGCUUUAAUUGCUCCAUCUGAAUCUCCAUUCCACCCAAAGCACAUGCAUUUCUCCAAGAAAGUUUAGAAUGUACUAAAAAUGGCAAAAAGAUUGGGCCAGUGGUGUGGUAUGGUUGAAGUAUAUUGUUUUUUAUGUUUCACAUUUCCAGUCUUUUGAAAUCUUAGAGGCUGAAGCCCAUCCAUACAAGUAUUAUUCGAGGAAGAUGACUCCUUUUAGGAACUUAUUUAGCUCUCCAGAACAUAGAUGUUGAAACAUAUAACUAUUUGAUAUUUCCUUGUUGAUCGGUUGAAUUAGUUGAAUUUCAUGCAGUUUUGUCAUUAUUAUUAUUUGUUAUUGUUAUUGUUAUUAUUAUUAUUAUUAUUGUUAUUUGUUAUUGUUACUAGUUGAUAGCUCGUGCAACGCACAGACUAGUUUGAAUAAUG